This 85-nucleotide transfer RNA is filed under the name Felis catus (domestic cat). It matches the Rfam family "tRNA". From Rfam's summary of the family: Transfer RNA (tRNA) molecules are approximately 80 nucleotides in length. Their secondary structure includes four short double-helical elements and three loops (D, anti-codon, and T loops). RNAcentral also lists the same sequence under 2 other names. The record is from Rfam by way of RNAcentral. Lineage: Eukaryota; Metazoa; Chordata; Mammalia; Carnivora; Felidae.
GCCUGAGUGGCUCAGUCAGUUAAGCAUCAGACUUCAGCUCAGGACAUGAUCUCACAGUUUGUGGGUUCAAGCCCCACAUUGGGCU